AGUGGAUUGGAUGGCCGCUGAAUAAAUUUAUUUUAUUCAGAGGAAAGUCCGGGCUCCUAAGGGCAAGGUGCCGGUUGCAAAAUCGGUUGGAGCGAUCCAAAGGAAAGUGCCACAGAAAAAAUACCGCCGAUACUUUCAUAAAUCGGUAAGGGUGAAAAGGUAAGGUAAGAGCUUACCGCUUUGGAUAGUAAUAUCAAAAGGCACGGCAAACCCCACCUGGAGCAAGGCCAAAUAGGGGAGCUAUGGAUUUUGCCCUUAUCCAAAAGUUCUCGGGUGGGCCGCUUAGAUAAAUGGUCAUCUUAAACAGAACCCGGCUUAUAGAUCCACUCG
RNAcentral lists this RNase P RNA (330 nucleotides) under marine eukaryotic metagenome. RNAcentral's name for it is "Bacterial RNase P class A". It matches the Rfam family "Bacterial RNase P class A". Rfam says of the family: Ribonuclease P (RNase P) is a ubiquitous endoribonuclease, found in archaea, bacteria and eukarya as well as chloroplasts and mitochondria. The record is from RNAcentral.